UACGGAGGGUGCAAGCGUUAUCCGGAUUCACUGGGUUUAAAGGGUGCGUAGGUGGAUUUAUAAGUACCUUGUGAAAUCCCACGGCUUAACCGUGGAACUGCUUGGUAUACUGGUUGUCUUGGGCCAUCUAGGGGCUACCGGAACAAACGGUGGAGCGGUGAAAUGCGUAGAUAUCGUUUGGAACGCCAAUGGUGAAAACAGGUAGCUGGGGAUGUGCCGACGCUGAGACACGAAAGCCAGGGGAGCGAACGGG
RNAcentral lists this ribosomal RNA (253 nucleotides) under uncultured bacterium. Its description in RNAcentral is "partial 16S ribosomal RNA". It matches the Rfam family "Bacterial small subunit ribosomal RNA", at positions 524 to 776 of the family's 1533-position model. The record is from RNAcentral.